GAUCCUGGCUCAGGACGAACGCUGGCGGCGUGCCUAACACAUGCAAGUCGAACGGAGUGUUGCGCUGAAAUUGAGAUUAGCUUGCUAAAGGAAAUUUCUUGUAACACUUAGUGGCGGACGGGUGAGUAACGCGUGAGGAACCUGCCUUACAGAGGGGGACAACAGUUGGAAACGACUGCUAAUACCGCAUGAUGUGGAGGGGAGACAUCUCCCUUUCACCAAAGGAGCAAUCCG
This 234-nucleotide ribosomal RNA is filed under the name uncultured bacterium. RNAcentral describes it as "partial 16S ribosomal RNA". It matches the Rfam family "Bacterial small subunit ribosomal RNA", at positions 15 to 217 of the family's 1533-position model. The record is from RNAcentral.